UCGAGAAUUUUUCACAAUGGGCGAAAGCCUGAUGGAGCGACGCCGCGUGGGGGAUGAAUGGCUUCGGCCCGUAAACCCCUGUCAUUCGCGAUCAACCCUUAUUAUUUAAAAGAUGAUAAGCUGAUAGUAGCGGAAGAGGAAGGGACGGCUAACUCUGUGCCAGCAGCCGCGGUAAUACAGAGGUCCCAAGCGUUGUUCGGAUUCACUGGGCGUAAAGGGUGCGUAGGUGGUGACGUAAGUCGGAUGUGAAAUCUCGGAGCUCAACUCCGAAAUGGCAUUGGAAACUGCGUCGCUUGAGGGUCGGAGGGGGGACUGGAAUUCUCGGUGUAGCAGUGAAAUGCGUAGAUAUCGAGAGGAACACCAGUGGCGAAGGCGAGUCCCUGGACGACUCCUGACACUGAGGCACGAAAGCUAGGGGAGCAAACA
RNAcentral lists this ribosomal RNA (426 nucleotides) under uncultured prokaryote. Its description in RNAcentral is "bacterial SSU rRNA". It matches the Rfam family "Bacterial small subunit ribosomal RNA", at positions 355 to 774 of the family's 1533-position model. The record is from RNAcentral.